RNAcentral lists this ribosomal RNA (208 nucleotides) under uncultured bacterium. RNAcentral describes it as "partial 16S ribosomal RNA". It matches the Rfam family "Bacterial small subunit ribosomal RNA", at positions 1294 to 1500 of the family's 1533-position model. The record is from RNAcentral.
CGGAUUGGAGUCUGCAACCCGACUCCAUGAAGCUGGAUUCGCUAGUAAUCGCGCAUCAGCCACGGCGCGGUGAAUACGUUCCCGGGCCUUGUACACACCGCCCGUCAAGCCAUGGAAGUCGGGAAUGCCCGAAGUCAGUGACCCAACCUAUUGGAGGGAGCUGCCGAAGGCAGGUCUGAUAACUGGGGUGAAGUCGUAACAAGGUAGC